This 473-nucleotide ribosomal RNA is filed under the name uncultured bacterium. Its description in RNAcentral is "bacterial SSU rRNA". It matches the Rfam family "Bacterial small subunit ribosomal RNA", at positions 335 to 799 of the family's 1533-position model. The record is from RNAcentral.
ACUCCUACGGGAGGCAGCAGUGGGGAAUAUUGCACAAUGGGCGCAAGCCUGAUGCAGCCAUGCCGCGUGUGUGAAGAAGGCCUUCGGGUUGUAAAGCACUUUCAGUUGUGAGGAAGGUGGUGUCGUUAAUAGCGGCAUCAUUUGACGUUAGCAACAGAAGAAGCACCGGCUAACUCCGUGCCAGCAGCCGCGGUAAUACGGAGGGGUGCGAGCGUUAAUCGGAAUUACUGGGCGUAAAGCGCAUGCAGGUGGUUUGUUAAGUCAGAUGUGAAAGCCCGGGGCUCAACCUCGGAACUGCAUUUGAAACUGGCAGACUAGAGUACUGUAGAGGGGGUAGGAAUUUCAGGUGUAGCGGUGAAAUGCGUAGAGAUCUGAAGGAAUACCGGUGGCGAAGGCGGCCCCCUGGACAGAUACUGACACUCAGAUGCGAAAGCGUGGGGAGCAAACAGGAUUAGAUACCCUGGAGCACAGAG